Molecule: ribosomal RNA, 253 nt
Filed under: uncultured bacterium
Lineage: Bacteria
Description: partial 16S ribosomal RNA
Rfam family: Bacterial small subunit ribosomal RNA
Source: RNAcentral
GACGUAGGGCGCGAGCGUUGUCCGGAUUUAUUGGGCGUAAAGAGCUCGUAGGCGGCUUGUUGCGUCGGCUGUGAAAUCUCGUGGCUUAACUGCGGGCUUGCAGCUGAUACGGGCGGGCUAGAGUUCGGUAGGGGAGACUGGAAUUCCUGGUGUAGCGGUGAAAUGCGCAGAUAUCAGGAGGAACACCGGUGGCGAAGGCGGGUCUCUGGGCCGAUACUGACGCUGAGGAGCGAAAGCGUGGGGAGCAAACAAG